GGGCUUUCACAAAACUAGCUUGAAAGGUAAAGCUUCUGCAUACACAGAAUAAAGUUGUAGUAUAUUCCAUAUACUUUUGUUUACACAUUUGGCUCUACACUACAAUAGUCCAACACAAGCUCACAGCUUGAAAAUAUCUUCUCUCUCCUCUGUGCAAUAUCAAAAUCCGUCUGGGGGAUGAUGACAUUUAUUACGGACAAAUUACUGAGGUAAGAUCUCAUGCAAUCACCAUUAUUACGUAUGACUGCUAUACUUGUAUUUGCAAUUUUCCCAGCGGCAUCCAGUUCCCAGAAAUGGAUCCAAAUGCGUUGAGAUUUAAAAUGUCGGAACCAAACCACCUUGUUUUUUGUAUGUAGGUUUCUGUUUUGCUUAUUGGAGUUUGCAUUGCAUGCUUAAUGGUACCCAUUCUCAUAACUUGAAAGACGAGAGUCUGACAGAACUGUGAACAGUUGUGUCGACGAAUAGCUGCAAAAGCCAAAAAGGAGGUGCUAGGAUCAUGAAAAUAACUUCAGGUGGAAAAAACAGAGAACUUUAGCCCAUUUUCACCACAUAUUCAAGUUGAUGUACCAAGUCCUCUUGUUUAUUAAGGGCAGCAUUUAAAUGAGAAUAAAAUAGAGCUUACAUACCCUAACAAAUGAUUGGUCUCUACUAGGAAAGGAAUCAAUAAAACUAUCAUUAAGAAGUAAUGAAACCUGCGGAAAUAGAAAGACAUAGUUAAUCGCAACUAGCUGGUUUCCAGGGUCCUUUUAUGUUAGAAGGUACAUAGAGAGAGACUGUAAGUUUGAAGUAGUUUUGCUAACCCUGUCGUUGUUUGAUUUUACACUAGUGAUAGUAUGAGACCUCAAUUCUGAACAAAGUGACUCCAAGUAGCGCCUCAUGACGGUCAAAAAUUGUGCAGCAGCAUCAGCCUGCACUUCAAUUGUCGUGAUUGCUUAAAAAUUAAAAAAGAG
This 950-nucleotide long non-coding RNA is filed under the name Panax ginseng (ginseng). RNAcentral describes it as "long non-coding RNA (PGIN_LNC007056)". The record is from RNAcentral. Lineage: Eukaryota; Viridiplantae; Streptophyta; Magnoliopsida; Apiales; Araliaceae.